This is a long non-coding RNA of Micropterus dolomieu (smallmouth bass), 4257 nucleotides long. RefSeq lists it as uncharacterized. The transcript has 5 exons. Lineage: Eukaryota; Metazoa; Chordata; Actinopteri; Centrarchiformes; Centrarchidae. The record is from RefSeq and is a predicted model, not a curated record.
CAGAACAAGAAUACUGAUUUUCAGAAUCAUUGAGAUCUUUAGAUUUGUGAAGAGAGGGGAAAGGAGAGCAUGUUUUUGGCAUAAAACAACAACAAACAAACAUCAACAACAUGUACACAAACCAAAGCACAGCUGCGGAGGGUCAUCAAUAUUGAGGCUGAUACCUUUUUAUCUCUCUCUCUGGUCUUUUUUAUUAGCAAUGCGCAAAACGUUCUGAUAGCAGCUUUUCAUUUUCCACUGGUUUACCUGACAAAUCACCAUAAAUAUGAGGGGUCAUGAGGUGAUUCAAGUUCUUCUAAACAAACUGGUAUUCAUAUUUUGGACUUUAGAACCAUUUUAGAAGUUCAGAGGGAAAAUGUCCCUUUGUCUUAUCUUCAGUCAACUUAACUGAUUAUUUUUUUUACAGGUCUCUCAAAAAAAUCAGCCAGCUGCAGCUGAUUCAGAACGCUGCUACUCGAAACCUUACUAAGACCAAGGGUGGAUGACAUCACUCCAGUUCUGAGAUUCAAUAAAAUCCAUUGAAGCCCAACCCUAGUGGUGAAGCGGCGGGGUCCUACCUGUGCCAGCAUGCUGGGCUGGAUGUGAAGGGACUGGGAUGACUGGUUCUGAGGAACUAAGGGUACUGAGUUGUCCAUUCUCACUGGAUAACCAGAGGUCUUAUUGGAUGUUUGAAGACCUAUUAGGAAAAGGUUGGAGAACAACUGGUAAUUUCAGACAAUAGACACUAACAUCUUGCAUUCUCACCCUGGAUGGUGGGGGGGCAAACUAUGAGUGUUUGCUGGAAGGGCUCAGUCUGGGUGCAGAGCUGGGUGGGUCUGGUCUGCAGGGGUACACCCUGCUGGGUUAGGCCAGGGAUGUUUAUGGUGGCCUGCUGGUAGAGGCCAGGCUGGUAGUUCAGCAAUGGGACAUUACUGCUUAGGGACAGGGACUGGCCUCCUGCAGAGGCCAUCUAUAAGACACAGCAUGCAGAAAAUACUGUAUUCAAUGCCUGAAAGAAUGAGUUGUGCUCAGCAAGAAAGUCAUGGGGCCUCAUUCAACAAAGCAUCCGUAGAUUAAGUUAUAAAUAUAUGCAUAAGAACUGUCAGUACAAACCAGAAAAUUGGUAUUUAUCAAACAUGCACAGGUAACUUCAUGCAAUGAACAAUGAUAAAUCUCAUCUGUUCUACAUCCAGCUGCACCUGCAUGUGGACAGACACACAGAAAUGCCCCCUGAAUACCAAAGAAGGUUUUCAUGGAAAAAAGUAGCAGCCAAGAAAGACUGAGACAAAAAAACAUCACAGACAACAAGGUUAAGACACUGUACCCAAGAGCAGGCGUCUGGGAAAGUUUCACAAUCUUACGCCAAACUUAUGGACAAAAGUCUAAUAUUUGUUCCUGCAUUGUCAAUGGUUUUAUUUUGUAUCCCACUAUUUCCACACUACAUUUGUUGUUAUAUAAUUAGUUAUUAUGAACAAAUGUAGUUAGACUGCGAGCGCUGCGGUAUGCACGAUUCGUCAAAUGCAUUGAAAUAACGUUGCGCUUAUUAUCUAUGAACAACAAGAUCACUACAGUAAUAUUUUCACAAUAAAUUUCAAUAAACAAAACUGUUUAAAUUUGAUAUUUCCAUAAGUGGCUUGUACAAAGAUAAAUAAGAUACAGAACGGGGGAAGAUGAUUUCAAUUGACGUGAUGGUCAACUGUAGUACCACUUUAUUGCAAUUACAGAUUUGUUUUAAUUUGUUUUUUAAUUGUUGCACUUUUAGCAUAAAAGAACAUAUAUGCAGCUUAGUUAAAUCAAUCAAAAUGAAAGGUACUAAAGCAUAAUACUUCAUAAGUAAUACAGAUUAAUCCAAUUGAAUGUCACUAAUAGCUCUGUGUCUUUCAUAUGCAGCCACAAGUGCUCAGUGGUGCAGUACUAGAGACAAGCAAAAAUAGAGGCAAUAAUUGAAAUACAUUUUUACCUUGUAGUUCAAAAAAAAAUGGAAAUUCACGUGUUCAGGAACGCACACUCUAGCACAAGAAGAAAUCAGAUUCUAUGCGUAGAAAAGAGCAUGCACAUGGUGUCAGCGUACACACGGUUGACAAAUGAGGCCCCAGAGACAUAACUUUAUAAAGCAACUGACAUAACCUGCCAAGUAAAAACUGAAUCAACAAGAAUAAUGUUAUAAAAAACAAAAUGACCCUGAAGCAGAUUAGAGCAAAAGUUCUCACCUGAUUGUGCUGGUUUAGUUGGCUACUGAAGGUGACAGUGAGGUUGGUGGCUGCACUUGGGGUAUUGUUGCUAGCAAACAUAUUUUUUCCGUUCUCAAAGGCGCUGCAUCUGCGUUUGCAUAUAUCCAUAUUUUGGAAGCAGGACUUCACACUACAAAAAAGUAAAAAAUAUCAAACAGGCGCACAGGUUGAAUCCUGGGCACUAGCGUGCAAUGCUAAACCACAGUAUUCAUUUCAACUGAUCAUAACUACAAAAACAUAAAUGUAACACCUCUACUGAUCAUCUUUGAAAACCUCUACAGCUGAGCAUCAGAACAAUCCUGAACUUGUUGGCUUACUGUGAGCUGUGAGGGAAGUGCAGCAGGUGAGUCAUGGUAACAAAGGGGUGGUUCAGUGUCUUCAUGGGCGUGAUCCUUUUGUCCGCAUCUAGUGUCAACAUCUUCUUUAGCAGGUCUAUGAACUCCCGCCUGUCUGCCUUCUCUGCCAAGAUGUCAGUCCCCUCCAGACUCGUCAUGUUCACCUGCAGAGGGGAACAGGAAGUUCGUCAAACUCCAAUGUGUGAAAGGUCCAGGUGUGGUGCAGCUGACCUGGUCAUACUCUGAGGCACCAGGAUAAAGGGGCCAUCCCAAGAACAGCUCAGCAAUGACACAUCCCAAAGACCACAUGUCGAUCGCUUCACAGAAAGGAAGUCCCAGAAUGAUCUCCGGAGCUCUGCAAGCACACCACAAUUGCCAAAUUACAAGAUCACACAGCAGAUAGGUGGAGCAAACUGCUUUGGACACGUGGCUGGCAGAGCCGAAAUCAAUGACUUUCACUCGGUACGGCUGCCUCAGAGGAUCUACUAACAUGAUGUUUUCAGGCUUCAGGUCGGCGUGGAUCAGUCCCAGGCUUUUCAGCUUCAUCAGUGCUGUGGCGACCUGCUGCAGAAUAGGUCGUAUACACUUGAGCAGCAGCGGGCUGAACUUGCUGUGCUUCAGGAAGUCGUAAAGGUUCUGCUCCAGCAUCUCAAACACAAGGCACGUGUGGUUCUUGUGCUGGAAACACUCGUAUGAGCGGACAAAGUUGAACUCAUCGGCGUUCUCUGUGCUCAGCCUGCUAAGGAUGCUCACCUGUAGGGAGGAGGGAGAGGAAGACGAAGAUAUUAUGAUAUUCAUUAAUGGAUAAUACUGAAGACCCUUUGUUUUUUUCACUCAGCUAAAAUCAAAUAGAUUUGAGUUUUUUUGCCUGUAUGUCCACAGGUUUUCAACACUAGAUACUGUAUCUAUAUAUGAAGGGACAGAGGAGAGUGUCAGUGCUCCGGGAAUAUAACAGCCAUGCUGGCAUACUAAACCUUGGUACUGUAUUAAAACAAGUACUUACAAUGCAAAACGAGAAAAGUUCAUGGAUUUUGUCAAGUCAAGAUUAUUUAUAAAGCACAUUUAAAAACAACCAGAGUUGACGAAAAUACUAAUGUGUGUCAAUCCUAUUGUUUUUGUCAACUUCUAUUUGGUGUAAUUGUGUUCUGUCGACCGAUGUCGGUUUUUCAAUGGCAGAUUCUGAUAUUUAGAGAGCAAUGUCAACUUCCAAGUUGUAAUUAAAACUGGCAAAAUGUUUCUGAAAGCUCAGAUAUAUCUGACAUGACACUAAUACUGAAGUGCAAAAACGAAUACAAAUAUGGACGCCUCCAAACAACCAAAGACCAUCAAUUUUCAAUGUGAUGUUGUUAUUUUGUCAGUGUACAGUAUUUUAAUCCUCACAAGACCAACUCUGAAAUCACAGCAUGGCAAUCUUUCCCAUCUCUACCAUCCUUCCUACAAGACAUGAAUGUGGCAUGAUCUUUUUUGUGCCUUAUGUUUGUUUACAUUUUGUCAGAUUUGCACCAUUAGUCGUCAUGCUGAAUUAGCACUGCACCUAUGGAUGUCCAAACAAUUACAGUUUAAUGGAUGUUAAUAUAAAGGGAAUUGGAUGCGAAGGGUUAGAGAAUAAUCGAGUGGGUAACAACAGGUUGGUGUAUGUGGGAUUGUGUCAAAAUAAACUACGCUGCCCAAGUUUACUGUUAUAAAGGAAUAUGUCAUCCCUGGAGUUUUUA